RNAcentral lists this ribosomal RNA (441 nucleotides) under uncultured bacterium. RNAcentral describes it as "partial 16S ribosomal RNA". It matches the Rfam family "Bacterial small subunit ribosomal RNA", at positions 338 to 795 of the family's 1533-position model. The record is from RNAcentral.
CCUACGGGUGGCAGCAGUCGGGAAUAUUGCGCAAUGGAGGAAACUCUGACGCAGUGACGCCGCGUGCAGGAAGAAGGUUUUCGGAUUGUAAACUGCUUUAGACAGGGAAGAAAGAAGAAAGUACCUGUAGAUUGAGCUCCGGCUAACUACGCGCCAGCAGCCGCGGUAAUACGUAGGGGGCAAGCGGUAUUCGGAUUUAUUGGGUGUAAAGGGUGCGUAGACGGAGAAGCAAGUUAGUUGUGAAAUCCCUCGGCUUAACUGAGGAACUGCAACUAAAACUACUUCCCUUGAGUACUGGAGAGGAAAGUGGAAUUCCUAGUGUAGCGGUGAAAUGCGUAGAGAUCAGGAGGAACACCGGUGGCGAAGGCGACUUUCUGGACAGUAACUGACGUUGAGGUACGAAAGUGUGGGGAGCAAACAGGAUUAGAUACCCGUGUAGUC